This 27-nucleotide non-coding RNA is filed under the name Rattus norvegicus (Norway rat). Lineage: Eukaryota; Metazoa; Chordata; Mammalia; Rodentia; Muridae. The record is from RNAcentral.
UCCUACUGAAGCAAGGUGCCACGUGUC